RNAcentral lists this ribosomal RNA (439 nucleotides) under uncultured bacterium. RNAcentral describes it as "partial 16S ribosomal RNA". It matches the Rfam family "Bacterial small subunit ribosomal RNA", at positions 339 to 795 of the family's 1533-position model. The record is from RNAcentral.
CUACGGGCCGCUGCAGUGAGGAAUAUUGGACAAUGGAGGAAACUCUGAUCCAGCCAUGCCGCGUGAGUGAAGAAGGCCUUAGGGUUGUAAAGCUCUUUCAAUAGUGAAGAUAAUGACGGUAGCUAUAGAAGAGGCUCCGGCUAAAUUCGUGCCAGCAGCCGCGGUAAUACGAAUGGAGCAAGCGUUGUUCGGAAUCACUGGGCUUAAAGCGUGCGCAGGCGGACUUGAAAGUCAGAAGUGAAAUCCCAGAGCUCAACUCUGGAACUGCUUUUGAAACUUCAUGUCUAGAAUCCGAUAGAGGUAAGGGGAAUUCCUAGUGUAGAGGUGAAAUUCGCAGAUAUUAGGAGGAACACCAGUGGCGUAGGCGCCUUACUGGGUCGGUAUUGACGCUCAUGUACGAAAGCGUGGGGAGCAAACAGGAUUAGAUACCCCGGUAGUC